RNAcentral lists this ribosomal RNA (253 nucleotides) under uncultured bacterium. Its description in RNAcentral is "partial 16S ribosomal RNA". It matches the Rfam family "Bacterial small subunit ribosomal RNA", at positions 524 to 776 of the family's 1533-position model. The record is from RNAcentral.
UACGGAGGGUGCUAGCGUUGUUCGGAAUUACUGGGCGUAAAGGGCGCGUAGGCGGCCGUUUGCGUCGGAUGUGAAAGCCCGGGGCUCAACCUCGGAACGGCAUUCGAUACGGGACGGCUAGAGACCGGGAGAGGAGAGUGGAAUAGCCAGUGUAGAGGUGAAAUUCGUAGAUAUCGAGAAGAACACCGGUGGCGAAGGCGACUCACUGGACAUGUAUUGACGCUGAGGUGCGAAAGCGUGGGGAGCAAACAGG